RNAcentral lists this ribosomal RNA (499 nucleotides) under uncultured bacterium. RNAcentral's name for it is "bacterial SSU rRNA". It matches the Rfam family "Bacterial small subunit ribosomal RNA", at positions 355 to 871 of the family's 1533-position model. The record is from RNAcentral.
CAAGGAAUUUUCGGCAAUGGGCGCAAGCCUGACCGAGCAACGCCGCGUGGUGGAUGACGGCCUUCGGGUUGUAAACACCUUUUGGGGGGAUGACAACGACCGUACCCCCCGAACAAGCCCCGGCUAACUCUGUGCCAGCAGCCGCGGUAAGACAGAGGGGGCAAGCGUUGUCCGGAGUUACUGGGCGUAAAGCGCACGCAGGCGGCCGCGCAAGUGAGGUGUGAAAGCGGGCGGCUCAACCGCCCGAGGCCAUCUCAGACUGCCUGGCUCGAGCCGUUCAGAGGUCCCUCGAAUUGCCGGUGUAGUGGUGAAAUGCGUAGAGAUCGGCAGGAAGACCCACGGGGAAGCCAGGGGACUGGGGACGAGCUGACGCUCAGGUGCGAGAGCGUGGGGAGCGAACCGGAUUAGAUACCCGGGUAGUCCACGCCGUAAACGAUGAUGACUAGACCUGGGGCGGUUCAACCCCGCUGUGGGUCGCAGCUCACGCGUAAGUCAUCCG